This 442-nucleotide long non-coding RNA is filed under the name Homo sapiens (human). Its description in RNAcentral is "HSALNT0297952". The record is from RNAcentral. Lineage: Eukaryota; Metazoa; Chordata; Mammalia; Primates; Hominidae.
UGUGAGCUAGGGGGCCCGGCGCGGGUGCCAUCGCAGCGGGGCGCGUGGGAAGGCCAGUGUGCACGCGAAGGUCCCACUCCAGCUGGACCCUGGGUACCUGGCUGAAGACUUUGGACUUUAACCUGGAGAUGAUGGAGAGUAUGCAGGAUAAAGUCCAUACCAAAUCCAACGCCUAGCAAAUGGAGAACAAGCCAAAACUAACAAGAUAAAAUGUAGCAGGAAAAAGUGCAAAGAGCUGAAGUGUGGAAUAAGUGGGAGAGGUCUGCCAUGCCCUAUCUGACCUUGCUGCCAUGAUCUUUAAGGCUGUGUGUCCUGGUUGGUGCAGCUACAAGAUGGCAGAAAUGCCUAAGUGAUGGUAUGGAACAGAGGAUCCCUCUUCUCACCAUUGUCUUGCAUGUUUCCUUGUGUGAACCACAAAUAAACUUUUGUUAUGUUAAGCUGC